GGCGCACGGGUGCGUAACGCGUAUACAAUCUACCUCUUGCUGAGGGAUAGCCCAGAGAAAUUUGGAUUAAUACCUCAUGGUAUUAUAGAUAGGCAUCUAUUUAUAAUUAAAGGUUACGGCGAGAGAUGAGUAUGCGUCCCAUUAGCUAGUUGGCGAGGUAACGGCUCACCAAGGCAACGAUGGGUAGGGGUCCUGAGAGGGAGAUCCCCCACACUGGUACUGAGACACGGACCAGACUCCUACGGGAGGCAGCAGUGAGGAAUAUUGGACAAUGGGCGAGAGCCUGAUCCAGCCAUGCCGCGUGCAGGAAGACUGCCCUAUGGGUUGUAAACUGCUUUUAUACAGGAAGAAUAAGCCUUACGUGUAAGGUGGUGACGGUACUGUAAGAAUAAGGACCGGCUAACUCCGUGCCAGCAGCCGCGGUAAUACGGAGGGUCCGAGCGUUAUCCGGAAUUAUUGGGUUUAAAGGGUCCGUAGGCGGAUGAUUAAGUCAGGGGUGAAAGUUUGCAGCUCAACUGUAAAAUUGCCUUUGAUACUGGUUAUCUUGAGUUGUAUUGAAGUAGGCGGAAUAUGUAGUGUAGCGGUGAAAUGCAUAGAUAUUACAUAGAACACCAAUUGCGAAGGCAGCUUACUAAGUACUAACUGACGCUGAUGGACGAAAGCGUGGGUAGCGAACAGGAUUAGAUACCCUGGUAGUCCACGCCGU
This 706-nucleotide ribosomal RNA is filed under the name uncultured Flavobacteriaceae bacterium. RNAcentral describes it as "bacterial SSU rRNA". It matches the Rfam family "Bacterial small subunit ribosomal RNA", at positions 97 to 803 of the family's 1533-position model. Lineage: Bacteria; Pseudomonadati; Bacteroidota; Flavobacteriia; Flavobacteriales; Flavobacteriaceae. The record is from RNAcentral.